CAUUUUCUCUGAACUAAUACACAUUAUUGUUUAGGAGCCAUAUGAAGCCCGACUAAGGGUGUGGGAUUUUUCGCUGUGUUAAAGUCCCAUUGGUGGCCUUGUGCUGUUUUCUGUUAUUUGGUCGGGUUGUUGUCUCUUUGACACAUUCCCCAAUUCCAUUCUCAAUUUAAUUGACUUCCCGACUUACCUUACUUAAGUUAAACUAUUCUGAAGUUUUGAUUUGAAGUUAAUUUUGACAAUUUUAGGGUGAUCUGUAUAUGAUCAAUGUAAUAAAAAAAAAAUGUGCAAAAUAUUAAAGCAUCCUAUAUACACACAUGUACACUAUUAUUAAGAAGGGAAUCCUAAAUACACAUCCCCUUUUGUCAAACAAC
Molecule: long non-coding RNA, 371 nt
Filed under: Mytilus galloprovincialis (Mediterranean mussel)
Lineage: Eukaryota; Metazoa; Mollusca; Bivalvia; Mytilida; Mytilidae
Source: RNAcentral